RNAcentral lists this ribosomal RNA (497 nucleotides) under uncultured bacterium. RNAcentral's name for it is "partial 16S ribosomal RNA". It matches the Rfam family "Bacterial small subunit ribosomal RNA", at positions 28 to 507 of the family's 1533-position model. The record is from RNAcentral.
GAUGAACGCUGGCGGCGUGCCUAAUACAUGCAAGUCGAGCGAACGGACGAGAAGCUUGCUUCUCUGAUGUUAGCGGCGGACGGGUGAGUAACACGUGGAUAACCUACCUAUAAGACUGGGACAACUUCGGGAAACCGGAGCUAAUACCGGAUGAUAUUUUGAACCGCAUGGUUCAAAAGUGAAAGACGGUCUUGCUGUCACUUAUAGAUGGAUCCGCGCUGCAUUAGCUAGUUGGUAAGGUAACGGCUUACCAAGGCAACGAUGCAUAGCCGACCUGAGAGGGUGAUCGGCGACACUGGAACUGAGACACGGUCCAGACUCCUACGGGAGGCAGCAGUAGGGAAUCUUCCGCAAUGGGCGAAAGCCUGACGGAGCAACGCCGCGUGAGUGAUGAAGGUCUUCGGAUCGUAAAACUCUGUUAUUAGGGAAGAACAUAUGUGUAAGUAACUGUGCACAUCUUGACGGUACCUAAUCAGAAAGCCACGGCUAACUACGUG